RNAcentral lists this transfer RNA (75 nucleotides) under subsurface metagenome. RNAcentral's name for it is "tRNA-Ala". It matches the Rfam family "tRNA". From Rfam's summary of the family: Transfer RNA (tRNA) molecules are approximately 80 nucleotides in length. Their secondary structure includes four short double-helical elements and three loops (D, anti-codon, and T loops). Further hydrogen bonds mediate the characteristic L-shaped molecular structure. tRNAs have two regions of fundamental functional importance: the anti-codon, which is responsible for specific mRNA codon recognition, and the 3' end, to which the tRNAs corresponding amino acid is attached (by aminoacyl-tRNA synthetases). tRNAs cope with the degeneracy of the genetic code in two manners: having more than one tRNA (with a specific anti-codon) for a particular amino acid; and 'wobble' base-pairing, i.e. permitting non-standard base-pairing at the 3rd anti-codon position. The record is from RNAcentral.
UGGGGGCGUAGCUCAGCUGGAAGAGCACCUGCCUUGCACGCAGGAGGCCAGCGGUUCGAGUCCGCUCGCCUCCAU